UGGGGAAUAUUGCACAAUGGGCGCAAGCCUGAUGCAGCCAUGCCGCGUGUAUGAAGAAGGCCUUCGGGUUGUAAAGUACUUUCAGUCGGGAGGAAGGUGUCAAGGUUAAUAACCUUGGCAAUUGACGUUACCGACAGAAGAAGCACCGGCUAACUCCGUGCCAGCAGCCGCGGUAAUACGGAGGGUGCAAGCGUUAAUCGGAAUUACUGGGCGUAAAGCGCACGCAGGCGGUUGAUUGAGUCAGAUGUGAAAUCCCCGGGCUUAACCCGGGAAUUGCAUCUGAUACUGGUCAGCUAGAGGCUUGUAGAGGGGGGUAGAAUUCCAUGUGUAGCGGUGAAAUGCGUAGAGAUGUGGAGGGAUACCGGUGGCGAAGGCGGCCCCCUGGACAAAGACUGACGCACAGGUGCGAAAGCGUGGGGAGCAAACAGG
RNAcentral lists this ribosomal RNA (429 nucleotides) under Chloroflexota bacterium. Its description in RNAcentral is "Chloroflexi bacterium partial 16S ribosomal RNA". It matches the Rfam family "Bacterial small subunit ribosomal RNA", at positions 355 to 776 of the family's 1533-position model. Lineage: Bacteria; Bacillati; Chloroflexota. The record is from RNAcentral.